CUCCCCGACACCUGGAUGACUCCUCUUGGCUACCUGGGGGCUGGCAUUGUGGGAGGCAGCCGACGCCAGUGGGUGCUGCUGGGAUCCCUGCCCACACCCAGCAGUUGCCUGGAGAUGGAGGUAUGCCAGGUAUGUGGGCCAACAGCUGCAGAGUUGCCACUGACAGGCCGGAGGAGGAUUCUUUGUCAGUGACCGCACCAGACCGAGCCCCUGCCAGCUGUCCCACUCAGUAUGCCCUGGCUUCCAGGGCCCCAGCCAAGGAAGGGUGUGGACAUGUGAUACAGUGGUGGCCACAAGGCAGGGGUCAAGGGGAAGGCAGGCCGAUACUAGCAACAGAGGAAAUGACACUUCAGAAGCGUCCUCUCUUACAAACAAGAGCAACUGUGUGUGUCCCAGUGAGUAUGGGAAGCUCAGUCUCCUAACAUCAUUCAAGGGUCUCCAAGUGACUGUGCAUACAGUUUUAAAAAUAUCACCGAACUUGUUUUUCUUACCCCAGCCAUUUUUUAUAACUAUAUCUAGGGAAUGGGUUGGUUGACUCUAAAGAGCAAGGAACUAAAGAAAAGAUAAACAUGGACUUCCGUCCGUGGGGGGAGCUGCGGCGGUGGCGGUGCAGGAGGCCGGGCAGGGGUGCGGAGGGACCGACGGACGCACGGGCGGGCGGCCGGGAGCCAUGGAGCGCGGCCCUGGGGCCCGGGGGCACGGGCCGGGGUGGGCUUCCCACGGCACGACAUGGAGACCUGUGGUUGCGAGGCUCCCUGGGGCUCGGCUUGGACCGCGAUGGGGCUGGGCCCUGGCCUCCUAACGGGGCUGCUAUCUGGGGCGGUAGCUGGGGGGUCGCUCUCCCCACUGCCCGCGACUCGGAGCACCCCCACCCUCCCCUGCCGGGCCAGGCCGGGCGGCGUUGUUGGCGGGGGCCCCGGUGGAGGCCCGGCCCGGGCGGCGCCCGCCAUGAACGGGCUGUCGCUGAGUGAGCUCUGCUGCCUCUUCUGCUGCCCGCCCUGCCCCGGCCGCAUCGCUGCCAAGCUCGCCUUCCUGCCGCCGGAGGCCACCUACUCCCUGGUGCCUGAGCCCGAGCCGGGGCCUGGUGGGGCCGGGGCCGCCCCCUUGGGGACCCUGCGGGCCUCCUCGGGCGCACCCGGGCGCUGGAAGCUGCACCUGACGGAGCGUGCCGACUUCCAGUACAGCCAGCGCGAGCUGGACACCAUCGAGGUCUUCCCCACCAAGAGCGCCCGCGGCAACCGCGUCUCCUGCAUGUAUGUUCGCUGCGUGCCUGGUGCCAGGUACACGGUCCUCUUCUCGCACGGCAAUGCCGUGGACCUGGGCCAGAUGAGCAGCUUCUACAUUGGCCUGGGCUCCCGCCUCCACUGCAACAUCUUCUCCUACGACUACUCCGGCUACGGUGCCAGCUCGGGCAGGCCUUCCGAGAGGAACCUCUAUGCCGACAUCGACGCCGCCUGGCAGGCCCUGCGCACCAGGGGCUCUCGGGCCUUUGGCCACAGACUGAAGACUGCAUUGUUUACUUCCCAACUUUCGAGGUUUUGGGACUCAGACUGAUGCACCACCGGCUUCCUUGCUCCUCAACGUGCAGAUGGCCUAUCAUGGGAAUUUAUCUUGUAAUCAUAAGAAGAAACUGAAGUUGGAAAGAUCAACAAGCUUACCUGAAGUCACAGGGCGGGAGAGUAAAGGAGCAGAAUUUUCAACCUAAGUUUAUAUGAUUCUAAAAUUUUCCACUACCAUGCUACUAAAAGAAAUUACUCAACUAGUUCUUCCUGUUCAGCUGCUAAUAAAGACAUACCCAAGACUGGGACAUUUAUAAAGGAAAAAGGUUUAAUUGACUCACAGUUCCGCAUGGCUGUGGGGGCCUCAGGAAACUUACAAUCAUGGCAGAAGGGGAAGCAAAUAUGUCCUUCUUCACAUGGCGGCAGCAAAGAGAGGUGGCAGAAAGGAGGGAAAAGCCCCUUAUAAAACCAUCAGAUCUCAUGAAAACUCACUGACUAUCAGGAGAACAGCAUGGAGGUAACUGCUCCCAUGAUAAAAUCACCUUCCACCAGGUCCCUCCCAUGUCAGGUGGGGAUUAUGGGAACUACAGCUCAAGAUGAGAUUUGGGUGGAGACGUAGCCAAACAUAUCGUUAUCUUGAUAAGAUAUUGCUUUGGAUUGAAUUGUGUCCCUGCAAAAAUCUUAUGCAUAAAAGUUCUGAUCCCUGAUGUGACUGUUUUUGAAGACAGGCAGGGCCUUUAGUAGGCACUUAAGGUCAAAUUAGGUCAUAUGGGUGGGACCUCAGUCUACUAGGACUGGUGGCUUUAUACUGAAAGAAAGAGACAGAUGUCUCUCCCCUCGACCUCACAUGUAUAAAGGCCACAUAAGGAAAAAGCAGCCCAAGCCGGUAAGAGGCCCCAACAGACGCCAAACCCUUCCAGCUUCAUGAUCUUGGACUUCACUGCCCCCAAAACUGUAACAGAAUGAAAUUCUGCUGCUUAUGCCAUCCAGUCUGUGGCAUUUAGUUACGCCAGCCUGCACUGGCUAAUGCAGAUAUUCAGAAUCAAAUGAGUCAUCCCAAGCAAUUUCUCAGUAUAUACAGCACAGAUUUCACCUUCUAAACUCACCCUUGUCUUCGACUUUUUUUUUUUUUUUUUUUUUUUUUUUGAGACGGAGUCUCACUCUAUCGCCCAGGCUGGAGUGCAGUGGCGCGAUCUCGGCUCACUGCAAGCUCCGCCUCCCGGCUUCACGCCAUUCUCCUGCCUGAGCGUCCCGAGUAGCUGGGACUACAGGCGCCCGCCACCACGCCUGACUAGUUUUUUUUUUUUUUUAAUAUUUAUAUUUUUAGUAGAGAUGGGGUUUCACCGUGUUAGCCAGGAUGGUCUCAAUCUGCUGACCUCGUGAUCCGCCCGCCUCGGCCUCCCAAAGUGCUGGGACUACAGGCAUGAGCCACCACGCCUGGCCAGUUUUUCUUAAUUAUUAAAUAAUCUUUCAUUGAUUUAAGAAAUAUUUUCAUAUGGUUCCUAUUCAGGCCCAGGCAUUGUUUUUUUGUGCUGCAGACAAUGUGUUAAUAAAAGCUGUCCAGUCUUGUUAGUACAUCAUGAUAUUUAUAUUUGACAAAUCCUCUACUUAGAUAUGUAUCACCUCCAUAAUUUUUUGGAACACAUAAAUUUUUUGAACCAAAUGGAAUAAAAAGCUAGAUAUAUAGGUAUAAUGAAUAUAUUUGAAACUUUGUACUUUGCUUUACAAUUUGCAAAAGAACAUCGUAUACAGUGUUGUAUUUGAGUCUCCCUUAAGCCCUAUUAAGAAGAAAUUUUUCUAUUUCUGCUGUUCAGUGAAGAAAAUGAGCAAAAAAAGGUGCAGCAACUUCCCAAUAUCCCAUACUUACAAACAUAAAGGAGUGGGACUUUAAUGUAGACUCUUGGUGUCCAAGUUUGUGCUCUUUAUGCUUCAUGACACCAGGUAAAGUGCAAUGAGCACAGCAAAUGUGCCCCCUCAGGAGCCAGCUAAGACCUUCCGGGGGCUUCUCCUGGAAGUACAGAGUCUGCGACCCCCAUCCUAAAUACACAAGCAUUGGCAUCACUGUCUCACAGUAAAACAAAACAAAACAAAACAAACAAACAAACAAAAAAACAAAGAAAAAAACAAAUACAAUCUGUUCAGCAGAGUAAUUGUACAUAACACAAAAGAACUUCUGGGAAAAACACGGAACGCAUAUUGAAGUCAGAGGCUCAGUCAUGUGAAAAUAAAAGGUCUUGUUGGGUGCCUAA
RNA transcript from Pan troglodytes (chimpanzee), 3748 nucleotides. It is a transcript of the gene named alpha/beta hydrolase domain-containing protein 17A-like, with no coding region annotated. The transcript is spliced from 4 exons. The record is from RefSeq and is a predicted model, not a curated record. NCBI's taxonomy places the organism in Eukaryota, Metazoa, Chordata, Mammalia, Primates, Hominidae.